Molecule: RNase P RNA, 406 nt
Filed under: Bacteroidota bacterium
Lineage: Bacteria; Pseudomonadati; Bacteroidota
Description: Bacteroidetes bacterium (marine sediment metagenome) RNase P RNA component class A
Rfam family: Bacterial RNase P class A
About the family: Ribonuclease P (RNase P) is a ubiquitous endoribonuclease, found in archaea, bacteria and eukarya as well as chloroplasts and mitochondria.
Source: RNAcentral
CGCGCUCAUCGGGCAGCCGCCUUUGCCUUGUGCAGGGGAGGAAAGUCCGAACUCCGCAGGGCAGGGUGCCGGAUAACGUCCGGGCGUCGAAAGGCGACGGAAAGUGCAACAGAAAACACACCGCCCGUUCCGCAGCGCUUCGGCAAUGCGGGAAAGGUAAGGUUGAAAAGGUGCGGUAAGAGCGCACCGGCAGUCUGGCGACAGGCUGGCCUGGCAAACCCCACCCGGAGCAAGACCAUGUAGGAAUGUCGUCUUCGGAACUGCGCUGCUCGCGCAGUGAGCGCCUCGGCGCACCGGCAUUCGGGUAGGUCGCAUGAACUUCGUGGCAACACGGAGUCCAGAUAGAUGGCUGCCUCGUCCCGUAUCCCGGGAUAGACAGAAUUCGGCUUACAGAUGGACGCGAGUG